This 253-nucleotide ribosomal RNA is filed under the name Bacteroides caccae. RNAcentral's name for it is "partial 16S ribosomal RNA". It matches the Rfam family "Bacterial small subunit ribosomal RNA", at positions 524 to 776 of the family's 1533-position model. The record is from RNAcentral. Lineage: Bacteria; Pseudomonadati; Bacteroidota; Bacteroidia; Bacteroidales; Bacteroidaceae.
UACGGAGGAUCCGAGCGUUAUCCGGAUUUAUUGGGUUUAAAGGGAGCGUAGGCGGAUUGUUAAGUCAGUUGUGAAAGUUUGCGGCUCAACCGUAAAAUUGCAGUUGAUACUGGCAGUCUUGAGUGCAGUAGAGGUGGGCGGAAUUCGUGGUGUAGCGGUGAAAUGCGUAGAUAUUAGGAGGAACACCAGUGGCGAAAGCGGCUCUCUGGUCUGUAACUGACGCUGAGGCUCGAAAGCGUGGGGAGCGAACAGG